This 465-nucleotide ribosomal RNA is filed under the name Vreelandella stevensii. RNAcentral describes it as "partial 16S ribosomal RNA". It matches the Rfam family "Bacterial small subunit ribosomal RNA", at positions 338 to 795 of the family's 1533-position model. The record is from RNAcentral. Lineage: Bacteria; Pseudomonadati; Pseudomonadota; Gammaproteobacteria; Oceanospirillales; Halomonadaceae.
CCUACGGGUGGCUGCAGUGGGGAAUAUUGGACAAUGGGAGCAACCCUGAUCCAGCCAUGCCGCGUGUGUGAAGAAGGCCCUCGGGUUGUAAAGCACUUUCAGUGAGGAAGAACGCCUGGUGGUUAAUACCCAUCAGGAAAGACAUCACUCACAGAAGAAGCACCGGCUAACUCCGUGCCAGCAGCCGCGGUAAUACGGAGGGUGCGAGCGUUAAUCGGAAUUACUGGGCGUAAAGCGCGCGUAGGUGGCUUGAUAAGCCGGUUGUGAAAGCCCCGGGCUCAACCUGGGAACGGCAUCCGGAACUGUCAAGCUAGAGUGCAGGAGAGGAAGGUAGAAUUCCCGGUGUAGCGGUGAAAUGCGUAGAGAUCGGGAGGAAUACCAGUGGCGAAGGCGGCCUUCUGGACUGACACUGACACUGAGGUGCGAAAGCGUGGGUAGCAAACAGGAUUAGAUACCCUUGUAGUC